AAGUGCUUCAAGUGAUGAUGAUGAAGACAUGGCUAUGAUAGUCAAAAGAUUCAAAAGAGCAUUUAGAAAAGGUCGAAGCAAAUACAAGAAGUUCACAAAGAAAUAUGCUCCAAAGACUCCAAAUCAUUCAAGUGAAAUAGUUUGUUAUGAGUGUAACAAACCAGGCCACAUUAAGCCAAAAUGUCCUACAUUGAAGAAGAAAAAUAAGUUUAGAAAGGACAAAAGCAAAAAGGCAAUGGCAGCAACUUGGAGUGACAGUGAUUCUUCAUCAAAUGAUGAAACAAGUGACAAAGAGGCUGCAAACACUUGUAUGAUGGCAAUUGAAGAAAAAGGUGAAAGCUCACACAUCGAAGAUAGUGAAAAUGAGGUAAAUCUUGAACUUUCUAAUGUUGAUGAAUUAGAACUUGCAUUUGUGAAGACAUAUGAUAAGUAUAGAACUUUUAAAAAGAAAUGCAAAAUUUUAGUUCAUGAAAAUUGUGCUUUAAGAUCAGAAAAUAUUUCAUUGAGUAUGGUUUCAAAGGAAAAUGAAUUUUAUAAAU
This 539-nucleotide unclassified non-coding RNA is filed under the name Hevea brasiliensis (rubber tree). The record is from RNAcentral. Lineage: Eukaryota; Viridiplantae; Streptophyta; Magnoliopsida; Malpighiales; Euphorbiaceae.